RNAcentral lists this transfer RNA (87 nucleotides) under Gemmataceae bacterium. RNAcentral describes it as "tRNA-Ser". It matches the Rfam family "tRNA". From Rfam's summary of the family: Transfer RNA (tRNA) molecules are approximately 80 nucleotides in length. The record is from RNAcentral. Lineage: Bacteria; Pseudomonadati; Planctomycetota; Planctomycetia; Gemmatales; Gemmataceae.
GGAAGGGUGGCAGAGUGGUCGAUUGCACCGGUCUUGAAAACCGGCGACGUCGCAAGACGUCCGAGGGUUCGAAUCCCUCCCCUUCCG